GGUCCAAUGGUCUAAUGGUUAGGACAUGGGAUUUUGAUUCCCGUAAUCCAGGUUCGAUUCCUGGUUGGACCU
Molecule: non-coding RNA, 72 nt
Organism: Sodiomyces alkalinus F11
Lineage: Eukaryota; Fungi; Ascomycota; Sordariomycetes; Glomerellales; Plectosphaerellaceae
Source: the annotation of a RefSeq genome assembly